CCUACGGGAGGCAGCAGUGGGGAAUCUUGCGCAAUGGGCGAAAGCCUGACGCAGCAACGCCGCGUGCGGGAAGAAGGCUUUCGGGCUGUAAACCGCUUUCAGCAGGAACGAAAAUGACGGUACCUGCAGAAGAAGGAGCGGCCAACUAUGUGCCAGCAGCCGCGGUGAUACAUAGGCUUCAAGCGUUGUCCGGAUUUAUUGGGCGUAAAGAGUUCGUAGGCGGUCAAGUAAGUCGGGUGUGAAAAUUCUGGGCUCAACCCAGAGACGCCACCCGAUACUGCUUAACUUGAGUUCGAUAGGGGAGUGGGGAAUUCCUAGUGUAGCGGUGAAAUGCGCAGAUAUUAGGAGGAACACCGGUGGCGAAGGCGCCACUCUGGAUCGAUACUGACGCUGAGGAACGAAAGCAUGGGUAGCAAACAGGAUUAGAUACCCUGGUAGUCCAUGCCGUAAACGGUGGGCACUAGGUGUGGGUUUCUAUUAACGAAAUCCGCGCCGUCGCUAACGCAUUAAGUGCCCCGCCUGGGGAUACGGUCGCAAGACUAAACGUCAAAUGAAUUGACGG
RNAcentral lists this ribosomal RNA (562 nucleotides) under uncultured bacterium. RNAcentral describes it as "bacterial SSU rRNA". It matches the Rfam family "Bacterial small subunit ribosomal RNA", at positions 338 to 916 of the family's 1533-position model. The record is from RNAcentral.